The sequence is a transfer RNA, 83 nucleotides long. It matches the Rfam family "tRNA". From Rfam's summary of the family: Transfer RNA (tRNA) molecules are approximately 80 nucleotides in length. Their secondary structure includes four short double-helical elements and three loops (D, anti-codon, and T loops). Further hydrogen bonds mediate the characteristic L-shaped molecular structure. tRNAs have two regions of fundamental functional importance: the anti-codon, which is responsible for specific mRNA codon recognition, and the 3' end, to which the tRNAs corresponding amino acid is attached (by aminoacyl-tRNA synthetases). tRNAs cope with the degeneracy of the genetic code in two manners: having more than one tRNA (with a specific anti-codon) for a particular amino acid; and 'wobble' base-pairing, i.e. permitting non-standard base-pairing at the 3rd anti-codon position.
GCGGGGGUAGCCAAGCCUGGCCAACGGCGGCAGUGAAAAUCUGCUCCCUUAGGGGUUCGUGGGUUCAAAUCCCACCCCCCGCA